GCCUCGCUGGCUCAGUUGGUAGAGCAUGUGACUCUUGAUCUCAGGCUUAUGAGUUCACGCCUCAUGUUAGGUU
RNAcentral lists this transfer RNA (73 nucleotides) under Felis catus (domestic cat). It matches the Rfam family "tRNA". Rfam says of the family: Transfer RNA (tRNA) molecules are approximately 80 nucleotides in length. Their secondary structure includes four short double-helical elements and three loops (D, anti-codon, and T loops). RNAcentral also lists the same sequence under 2 other names. Lineage: Eukaryota; Metazoa; Chordata; Mammalia; Carnivora; Felidae. The record is from Rfam by way of RNAcentral.